CUAGUCCUACGGGGGGCAGCAGUGGGGAAUAUUGGGCAAUGGGCGCAAGCCUGACCCAGCAACGCCGCGUGAAGGAAGAAGGCUUUCGGGUUGUAAACUUCUUUUCUCAGGGACGAAGCAAGUGAUGGUACCUGAGGAAUAAGCCACGGCUAACUACGUGCCAGCAGCCGCGGUAAUACGUAGGGUGCAAGCGUUAUCCGGAUUUACUGGGUGUAAAGGGCGUGUGGGCGGGAAAGCAAGUCAGAUGUGAAAACCACGGGCUCAACCUGUGUCCUGCAUUUGAAACUGUUUUUCUUGAGUACUGG
Molecule: ribosomal RNA, 305 nt
Filed under: uncultured bacterium
Lineage: Bacteria
Description: bacterial SSU rRNA
Rfam family: Bacterial small subunit ribosomal RNA
Source: RNAcentral